This 494-nucleotide ribosomal RNA is filed under the name uncultured bacterium. Its description in RNAcentral is "partial 16S ribosomal RNA". It matches the Rfam family "Bacterial small subunit ribosomal RNA", at positions 28 to 507 of the family's 1533-position model. The record is from RNAcentral.
GACGAACGCUGGCGGCGUGCUUAACACAUGCAAGUCGAACGGUGAAGCGCCUUCCUUUUUGGUGGGUGUGGAUGAGUGGCGAACGGGUGAGUAACACGUGAGUAACCUGCCCCCUUCUUCUGGAUAACCGCAUGAAAGUGUGGCUAAUACGGGAUAUUCUGGGUCUGUCGCAUGAUGGGUCUAGGAAAGAUAUUGUUUCGGUGGGGGAUGGGCUCGCGGCCUAUCAGCUUGUUGGUGGGGUGAUGGCCUACCAAGGCGGUGACGGGUAGCCGGCCUGAGAGGGUGGACGGUCACACUGGGACUGAGACACGGCCCAGACUCCUACGGGAGGCAGCAGUGGGGAAUAUUGCACAAUGGGCGCUAGCCUGAUGCAGCGACGCCGCGUGAGGGAUGGAGGCCUUCGGGUUGUGAACCUCUUUCGCCAGUGAAGCAGGCCUGCCUCGUUUGUGGGUGGGUUGACGGUAGCUGGAUAAGAAGCGCCGGCUAACUACGUG